GUCCAUGCUGUCAAAUAUGAAUACUAAUAUUGGGAUUUUUCUGAUAUAAAGCUAACGCGUUAAGUAUUCCGCCUGAGAAGUAUGAUCGCAAGAUUGGAACUCAAAGGAAUUGACGGGGGUCUACACAAGUGGUGGAGCAUGUGGUUUAAUGCGAUAACACGCGCGAAAAUCUUACCAGUUCUUGAAUAUAUUUAAUUAAUAAUUUUAUUUUAUUAAUAUUAAAAAAUUUAAGAAAUUUUAUAAU
RNAcentral lists this ribosomal RNA (244 nucleotides) under uncultured bacterium. RNAcentral describes it as "partial 16S ribosomal RNA". It matches the Rfam family "Bacterial small subunit ribosomal RNA", at positions 793 to 1049 of the family's 1533-position model. The record is from RNAcentral.